UCCUCUUUAGAUGUAUCUUGCAUUUCCGUUUUAGCCAAAGGAAAUAAAUCGAAACCAGUCUUUGGUUUCUUAAUGAUUCUUGCUGCAUCUGGUUGACAUGUAAAAUCUUCCUGUGUUCCUUUCAUGCAAAUAUCUGAGGGAACAGAAACUGGAAACCUGCAAUGCAAAAUUUUAAAGGUUUAGCAUAUAAAAAUAAGGUCUGCAAUUACAAUUGAAUUGCCUACCAUGAAACAGGUUCAGAUGCGUCAGAUGGUUGUGGACAGUGUUGAUAAUCAGAAUUGACUUCCAAAGAAAAACCCAAAGAACCAAACUUAGCCGUGUCAGUUAUUCCAAUUUGGUGUAAGGUCUUGCUAUCGUCACUAAUCUUCUUUCCUUGAAGAGCAAUACCAACUUGAAGCCCAUAAUGAAGCAGGUUAGUUAGGGCAUCCUCAGUUCUCCUCUGCCAAAAAAAUAUAUCAAUACUUGUAAGUUAUUUGUGAUCAUUAAGUCUCUUGAUAUAAACAAACAGGUUAUGCAGCAGCUACCUUUAGUUCGCCAAUAGUUGCAGAAUCAGGCAUAUUUAUAAUGACUUCAGGUACCAUGAAGGAUUUGAUACUGCAUUUCACUGGAAAAAAAUGUUAGAAAUGUGGUCUAAGAUGUAUUCAAUCAGAGCAUAAUCUGAA
Molecule: long non-coding RNA, 662 nt
Filed under: Zostera marina
Lineage: Eukaryota; Viridiplantae; Streptophyta; Magnoliopsida; Alismatales; Zosteraceae
Description: long non-coding RNA (ZMAR_LNC000804)
Source: RNAcentral